Long non-coding RNA from Bos taurus (domestic cattle), 535 nucleotides. The record is from Ensembl. NCBI's taxonomy places the organism in Eukaryota, Metazoa, Chordata, Mammalia, Artiodactyla, Bovidae.
UAAGGCGUAGGAGCCUCGGGGAGGGUGAGCCAAGAGGGACGUGGCGCUCUGCGGCGCGGACUAGGAAGCCGCGCCCCUUCCUUCUCGGGCUUUCAUGGAGAAUCCUGUGGAGCAGGAUUUGGGGUCCCACAGGAUAUAACCUGGCCAAGUUCCUCAUUGCAUUUAGAAUGGAAGAGAGGGAGGCAGUAAUACUUAUAAGAAACAGCCCAAAGACUCCUUCAUUCCAGACCCUGAAAUCAUGAAAAAUGGGGGAAAGGGCACUGUAUCUCUCUGGCUACUACCUGCUCAAUAGGGGUGACGAUUUUGUGUCUGGAACAGAGGAUUGUCCUAGGGCCCAGGGUCUCCUUUUCCUGAGCUUGGGAUGAGGCUCUUGAGAAGAAGAAUGGUCUUGACCUGGUCUCAAGAGAUGGCCUGAGUCAGUUCUUGGAGAAAUCUUUGAAACAGAUUGAAGAGACAGGGUCCAAAUAAGAGGAAUAAAAUGAUAAGUACCAAUGGUCCCAGGAAAGGGAGCAACCAAGGGAGGGCCUGUUGGAAC